This 449-nucleotide ribosomal RNA is filed under the name uncultured bacterium. RNAcentral describes it as "bacterial SSU rRNA". It matches the Rfam family "Bacterial small subunit ribosomal RNA", at positions 330 to 793 of the family's 1533-position model. The record is from RNAcentral.
CCCAGACUCCUACGGGAGGCAGCAGUGGGGAAUAUUGGGCAAUGGGCGAAAGCCUGACCCAGCAAUGCCGCGUGAAUGAAGAAGGUCUUAGGAUUGUAAAAUUCUGUCCUAUGGGAAGAAACAAAUGACGGUACCAUAGGAGGAAGCCCCGGCUAACUACGUGCCAGCAGCCGCGGUAAUACGUAGGGGACAAGCGUUAUCCGGAUUUACUGGGUGUAAAGGGGGCGCAGACGGCGAUGCAAGCCAGGAGUGAAAGCCCGGGGCCCAACCCCGGGACUGCUCUUGGAACUGCGUGGCUGGAGUGCAGGAGGGGCAGGCGGAAUUCCUGGUGUAGCGGUGAAAUGCGUAGAUAUCAGGAGGAACACCGGUGGCGAAGGCGGCCUGCUGGACUGCAACUGACGUUGAGGCCCGAAAGCGUGGGGAGCAAACAGGAUUAGAUACCCGAGUAU